GUUGUCUUGAGUUUUUAAGCCAUUUUUUUCCUUUGGUUAUUAUAGAUUACUUAUUCGUGAAGAUGGAAGAGAUAAUUAUACCAAUUUUAUGCUUACUUAAUGCUUGCUUUACUUAAUAAAAAUUUAAUUUUCACUUUGCAGCAGGAAGACUAAUGAGCCUCGACUGCUGUCUGUUAGAAAAUGUAAAUGAAAGAGUGACAUUAUUUACUGCAACAAUGGGAUUAAUAAGCAUAAAUUCCACAGCUAUUUGUCCAGAAGUCGUCAAUCUGAAUUAUGAAGUCAUCUUUGUUCUGCAAAAAGGUAGCUUCUGGAUGAAGAAGAAAGAUAGAUGUCUGAGUAGACUUGGAUCUACCUGGCUUGGAGCCAAAGCCAGCUGAAUCCAACCUGGAUGAGUUUCACAUCUGCCAAUUUACAGAAAUCAUUAAAUGUGGCAGCAGAAUGUUUGAGCCUGCUUACCAUUCCACUUGAACAUGGAUCUGUGAAAAAGCUGUAGCAGCAAUGUUAAUCAAUGCAUAAAGGUAGGAAUACCAUUCCAUAAUUCACGAGGAUAGAGACAAGAAAUGGUGGACCCAGUGUUAAUAUGUGGCUGCACUCAUCUGGAUUGCAGUCAGUUUAAUUUCAGCAGAAGCUGAGUAGAUCAUUUAUCAGGAUUGAAUAUAUUACUGUAAUUCAUUGCAGUGAUUGUAGGGAAACAGCAGUAGUAUAGAUGUGGGGCUGUAACUCAUAAUGACACAACCUGCCUGGUGGCUUUCUAUAGUGCUAUUUUCAGCUAGAACAGACUUUAUCUCAGAAAUUUUAGUAUACUAUUG
Molecule: long non-coding RNA, 809 nt
Filed under: Felis catus (domestic cat)
Lineage: Eukaryota; Metazoa; Chordata; Mammalia; Carnivora; Felidae
Description: lncRNA (ENSFCAG00000049677.1)
Source: RNAcentral